Molecule: long non-coding RNA, 491 nt
Organism: Xenopus laevis (African clawed frog)
Lineage: Eukaryota; Metazoa; Chordata; Amphibia; Anura; Pipidae
Exons: 3
Source: RefSeq, a predicted model, not a curated record
CCUGCAACUCACUCAGCUUUGCACUACAGAGAGUCUCACCCACACUGUACCGGGGCCGCUCUCUACUGCCUCUUCUACCCCCGCCCCUCACUGAUGUCAUAGCCACGCCUUUCUCUUAAAGGAACAGUAUCGGCAAAAAGACAUCCCCAUGGAAAAACAUAAAAGUGGAGCAGAGACAUUGGAAAUGGACAGGCCUGGUCAGUGUACGGAGAGAUGGGAAUGAUCCGGAAUGUCUGUGUGCGCAAUGGGAAGGAAUUGGAAUCUGAUGAUAUAGAAGGUUAGAGAUGGAAGAGAUCAGGGAAGAGAUACAGAAGAGAUUCUGGCUGAGGAACAGCCCAGAACAAGAUGGAAGAGAUCAGGGAAGAGAUACAGAAGGGAUUCUGGGUGAGGAACAGUCCAGAACAAGAUGGAGAAGAUGAGGAGAGUUACAGUCAUAUGAAAAAGUUUGGGAACCCCUCUUAAUUCUUUGGAGUUUUGUUUAUCAAGUAGCA